This 789-nucleotide ribosomal RNA is filed under the name Triticum aestivum (bread wheat). RNAcentral describes it as "partial small subunit ribosomal RNA". Lineage: Eukaryota; Viridiplantae; Streptophyta; Magnoliopsida; Poales; Poaceae. The record is from RNAcentral.
AUGGCGUGCGCGCACGGCGGCGGCCGUGCGGACCCCGAAGGCCGGCAUCAUCUUGGUAGCGGCGUCCCUCCGGGCGCCACCGGCACUGCCCUGGGACAGGGGCAGAGCUUGGAGAUGAUCUUCCCGUCGUGCAGCGCUCCCCCAGAUCGGCACAACAAGAAGAUGUGCGUCCUUAGUUCCUUCAACUGCAAGGACUUUCUUGACCAUCGUUGGUGCAUGAAGUCAUGCUCCUCAUCUUUAAGAAUUACAGAGUUGGUUCUUGGAUAUGUAAAAUGUUGUUGGGAGGAACAGAUAGUAGAUGUUGCCAGUUACAGGAGGUUCAGUGAUCAGAGGGGUCAAUGGACUAUUCAGCAUAAAGGAUGCGACCAAGAUCAGGAAUGGGGGCUAAACAGGUCGUUUGAUGAGAGUGUCCUUCUCUGGCACAUUGCAAGGGACUUGUGCUUCUACCAAAAGGCCGACACAUCAGCUUGUCAUGUAAAGGCCACGGGAUGCAGAGAAAUUUCCAACUACAUGAUAUACAUACUGUUCGUCAAGCCUGAGAUGCUAUUGCCUGGCACGAGACGGAAUCUGUUCAAGAAUGCCAAUGCUGAACUGGAGAAAAUCCUCAAGGACGACAAGCCAUCGCUAAUGGCGAUUCUCAAGGGAAAUAAGCCACUCCUCAAGUUCCUCAAGGGAAAAGGGCCAUCACCUGAGGAGGCUGAAAGAAGACUUGUGGACAAAAUAAUCGUCAAGUUGCGGCGCACAGAAUGCAGAGAGGAUCUAGGAUGCACGGAACCGCCACCGGAUUGA